This 84-nucleotide small nuclear RNA is filed under the name Fukomys damarensis (Damara mole-rat). RNAcentral's name for it is "U2 spliceosomal RNA". The record is from Rfam by way of RNAcentral. Lineage: Eukaryota; Metazoa; Chordata; Mammalia; Rodentia; Bathyergidae.
AUCACUUCUCGGCCUUCUGGCUAAGAUCAAGUGUAGUAUAGCUAAAAUGUAAUAAUAAACUUAAUGGAAAAAAAACUACCUUCA